CGUGGGCUUGCUGGCUUCAGGAGUGAAGCUGCAGACCUUCAAGAAAGAAGUCAGCAGGGGUUCUAAUAGAGAUCGCAUUCAAUCUGUACAUCAAAUUUGGUAUUGAAUCCACCUGGAAUUUCCUUGUGUUUGUGGUUCAAGGU
Molecule: long non-coding RNA, 143 nt
Organism: Symphalangus syndactylus (siamang)
Lineage: Eukaryota; Metazoa; Chordata; Mammalia; Primates; Hylobatidae
Source: RefSeq, a predicted model, not a curated record